Molecule: non-coding RNA, 32 nt
Filed under: Homo sapiens (human)
Lineage: Eukaryota; Metazoa; Chordata; Mammalia; Primates; Hominidae
Source: RNAcentral
UGACCAGGGCGCACAGGAAAAGGCCUCCCUCC